CCCUCUCUAUUCUGGAGAGAGACGUUAACCGGCUCCACCAUCAUCCCUGUUCCCAAGAAGCCCAGGAUCACAGGACUCAAUGACUACAGGCCCGUCGUCCUGACCUCUAUAGUCAUGAAAGGCUACAUGCUGCAAGGAAAAACACAGCGGAAAAAUACAGGCGAAUUCUGUAAGUUUUAAGGAGCUGGGAGAUAGACCACCGCGUGAGUCAAGACAAGGCAAGACAAACACGACGGCGCAAGAGGAUAAUAAAUCUGUUAUUGGCUCCUAAAACCAUUCCCUGACAAUGGCCGGCUGACAGCAGAACAACUGACCUACAACAAAAAAGUGUGCAGGGCUCGGGUGGUGGUGGAAAAUGCUUUUAAGAGACUCAAAGGAAGGUGGCGGUGCCUUAUGAAGAGGAAUGACAGCGACAUCGAAUUGGUGAAGUCCAUGGUGUUGACUUGUUGUGCUCUGCACAAUCUUUGUGAAAGGCAUCGAGAGGAUUACCAGCACGAAUGAGAUACACCUGUUGCUGCGGAGCCUGUGGUUACACAGGCACAGGGCGCAGAGGAGGAGGGCAGGGAUGUACGCGAGGGUCUAAUGCGUUAUGUGAACAGUUAAAUCUGUUGUACACCUAUAAAUGUGAAGUUUUGAUUUUAUUGAAAAUGAAUAAAUCCUUUUUACUUUUACCCUGCCUCUUCAUAUUU
This is a long non-coding RNA of Gasterosteus aculeatus aculeatus (three-spined stickleback), 689 nucleotides long. RefSeq lists it as uncharacterized. NCBI's taxonomy places the organism in Eukaryota, Metazoa, Chordata, Actinopteri, Perciformes, Gasterosteidae. The record is from RefSeq and is a predicted model, not a curated record.